Molecule: ribosomal RNA, 481 nt
Filed under: uncultured bacterium
Lineage: Bacteria
Description: bacterial SSU rRNA
Rfam family: Bacterial small subunit ribosomal RNA
Source: RNAcentral
GAUGAACGCUAGCGGCAGGCUUAACACAUGCAAGUCGAGGGGCAACACGGGUAGCAAUACCUGGUGGCGACCGGCGCAAGGGUGCGUAACGCGUGAGCAACAUGCCCUAUACAGGGGGAUAAUCCAGGGAAACUUGGUCUAAUAUCCCAUAGUAUUUAGAGGUGGCAUCACCACUAAAUUAAAGCUUCGGUGGUAUAGGAUUGGCUCGCGUGACAUUAGCUGGAUGGUGGGGUAACGGCUCACCAUGGCGAUGAUGUCUAGGGGUUCUGAGAGGAAGACCCCCCAACUGGGACUGAGACACGGCCCAGACUCCUACGGGAGGCAGCAGUGAGGAAUAUUGGACAAUGGAUGGAAAUCUGAUCCAGCCAUGCCGCGUGCAGGAAGACGGCCCUAUGGGUUGUAAACUGCUUUUAAUGGGAGCAAUAAGGUUUACGCGUAGACCGAUGAGAGUACCAUAUGAAUAAGCAUCGGCUAACUCCGU